AGGGGCAGCAUGAACUUAGCUUGCUAAGUUUGAUGGCGACCGGCGCACGGGUGAGUAACACGUAUCCAACCUGCCGAUGACUCGGGGAUAGCCUUUCGAAAGAAAGAUUAAUACCCGAUGGCAUAAUUCUUCCGCAUGGUAGAAUUAUUAAAGAAUUUCGGUCAUCGAUGGGGAUGCGUUCCAUUAGGUUGUUGGCGGGGUAACGGCCCACCAAGCCUUCGAUGGAUAGGGGUUCUGAGAGGAAGGUCCCCCACAUUGGAACUGAGACACGGUCCAAACUCCUACGGGAGGCAGCAGUGAGGAAUAUNUGGUCAAUGGACGNNAGAGUUCUGAACCNNAGCCAAGUANNGCGUGAANNGGAUGACUNNGCCCUAUUUGGGUUNGUAAACUUUCUUUUANUACGGGAAUAAAGUGAGGCACGUGUGCCUUUUUGUAUGUACCGUAUGAAUAAGGAUCGGCUAACUCCGUGCCAGCAGCCGCGGUAAUACGGAGGAUCCGAGCGUUAUCCGGAUUUAUUGGGUUUAAAGGGAGCGUAGGCGGACGCUUAAGUCAGUUGUGAAAGUUUGCGGCUCAACCGUAAAAUUGCAGUUGAUACUGGGUGUCUUGAGUACAGUAGAGCAGCGGAAUUCGUGGUGUAGCGGUGGAAUGCUUAGAUAUCACGAAGAACU
Molecule: ribosomal RNA, 668 nt
Filed under: uncultured Bacteroidales bacterium
Lineage: Bacteria; Pseudomonadati; Bacteroidota; Bacteroidia; Bacteroidales
Description: bacterial SSU rRNA
Rfam family: Bacterial small subunit ribosomal RNA
Source: RNAcentral